UACAGAGGUCCCAAGCGUUGUUCGGAUUCACUGGGCGUAAAGGGUGCGUAGGCGGUUGGGUAAGUCUGAUGUGAAAUCUCACAGCUUAACUGUGAAACUGCAUUGGAUACUAUCCGGCUCGAGGAAUGGAGGGGAGACUGGAAUACUUGGUGUAGCAGUGAAAUGCGUAGAUAUCAAGUGGAACACCAGUGGCGAAGGCGAGUCUCUGGACAUUUCCUGACGCUGAGGCACGAAAGCCAGGGGAGCAAACGGG
Molecule: ribosomal RNA, 253 nt
Filed under: uncultured bacterium
Lineage: Bacteria
Description: partial 16S ribosomal RNA
Rfam family: Bacterial small subunit ribosomal RNA
Source: RNAcentral